ACCCGAUAGGACGAACGUUUAAACGUGCUUCAACGCCACUGAUGGAUGAGCCUGCAGCACAUUAUCUAGCUGGGACGGUAAACGGCUACCAAGGCGACGAUGCCUACCCGACCCCACAGGGACAACCGCCACACUGAGACUGAGACACAGCCCACACACCGACGGGUAGAGCACACAGUACGGAAUCCUCACGCAAUGGCACGAAAGCCGUGACCAGAGCAACGCUCGCGUGAAUGAUGAACGCCUCCGCUCUUGUAAAAUUCUGUUAUGAUGGAAGAAUGACUCUAGUAUGAAAUGGCUACAAUGAGACAGUACCCUAUGAGAAAGCCACGGGUAACUCCACGCCACCACCCGCGGGAAUACACAUGUGGCGAGCGCUAUCCGGAAUUAUUGGGCGUAAAGAGCGCGCAGGUGGUUGAAUAAGUCUAAUAUGAAAGCCCACUGGUCAACCGUGAAGGGCCGUAGUAAACUGGUCAACUUUCUGCAGAAGACGAAACUGGAAUACCACGCGUAGCGGCGAAAAGCUUAGAGAUAUGGAGGAACACCAGUGGUGACGGCGGCUUCCUGCUCUGUAACUGACAAUGAUGAGCGAAAACGUGGGGAGCAAACAAGAUUAUAUACCCUGGUAGUCCACGCUGUAAACGAUGAGUACUAAGUGUCGGGGGUCGGACCUCAGCGCUGAAGUUAAGACAUCAAGCAGUACUCCUGGUGAGUACGGUGGCAAGAGUGCAGAUCAAAGGAAUUGAUCGGUGAGCCGCACACGCGGUGGCGCAUGUGUUUUAAUUUAAAGCAAUGCGUAGAACCUUCACCAGGUCUUGCCAUACCAGUGCCUUUCUUAGAGAUGGGAUUUUCCCUUCCCGGACAGUGGAUCCAGGUCGUGCAUGGCCGUCGUCUGCUCGCGUCGUGAGUUGUGAGGUUAAGUCCAGCACCGAGCGCAACCCCAUCCUUUCGUUGCCAUCAUUCAUUGGAGCACUCUAACGAGACUGCCUACUGACAAAGUGGAGGAAGGUGGGGACGACGUCAAAUCAUCAUGCCCCUUAUGUCCUGGGCUACACACGUGCUACAAUGGUCGGUACAAGGGGAAGUGAAGCGAUGACGUGGAGCAAACCUCAUAAAACCAAUCUCAGUUCGGAUUGCAGGCUGCAACUCGCCUACAUGAAGUCGGAAUUGCUAGUAAUCGCGAAUCAGCAUGUGGCGGUGAAUACGUUCCCGGGUCUUGCACACACCGCCCGUCA
Molecule: ribosomal RNA, 1235 nt
Filed under: uncultured bacterium
Lineage: Bacteria
Description: partial 16S ribosomal RNA
Rfam family: Bacterial small subunit ribosomal RNA
Source: RNAcentral